Molecule: long non-coding RNA, 853 nt
Filed under: Homo sapiens (human)
Lineage: Eukaryota; Metazoa; Chordata; Mammalia; Primates; Hominidae
Description: HSALNT0279133
Source: RNAcentral
UCAAGAUGAAGGGAUGAUGCUUCUUCUCCCUGGUUGCUCAAUCUGACUUGCAGGCCCUCUACUGGCUCCUCAGAAAAGGGUCUCCAGCGCCAAAAGAAUCUCCUGGGGUGCUCAAGCCCCCAGCCCUAUGCAGGAUGGAGAAUAUCUUGAGUGAACCUGUCUUGCAGAUGAUCGUUGACUAUGCAGGUAAAAUAGAUUGCGAUCAUUGUCAUCCUGCUCAGAAAACCCACCUGGAUAGGACCAGUCCUGGGACUGGGAGCCCGGAGACGCCACUGAGAGCCGGUCCUGCAGGGACUCCAGGGAGAUGAACCAGGAGAUGGCUCAGCAAGGACCAGGCAGUGGCAGAGGUGCCCGAGUAGAGUGAUCGUGGGGCAGAGGACUGAGGGAAAGUGCGUGCCUGUGCCUGGCAGUGCCGCCCCAGGUGGAGGAGGAGCCCUCAGGGUGGUGGGCUUCCGAUGAAGGGUGACUCUGCUGGGGUCUGAGGCUGUGCUCCCAGUGGACUCAGGGACCCCACUGCACAAGCCCGAUUUUGGGUAACAGGGCACACCUAGGGAACAGGCCCAGAGCACCCUCUCCUUGGAAUAAACUCCGGAUCCAAGUCCCAGAACCCACCUUAGGAGGCGUCUGCCGCCCCCGCCCCCUCCCCAGCCUUCCAGGCCCUGGCUGCGGUGGAUGGGGGCGCGGAAGGCCCAAGUGCGCGAACUUCACCUGGCCCGGCCGUCCUCCCCGUGGGGGGCCCAGGCUGCGGGCGCGUCAGGCCGUCUCUGUCGCCAUCCGGAGGAGCGGCUUGGGCGCCGCGUCCCCUCUGCCAGGCCCGGGUCGGCGGGCGGCUGGAGCCCCCAGCGGUGGCGGG